AUAUUACAGGCUUAAUAUUAUAAUUUCAAUGUCAUCAAAAUAUUACAAUUUCAUGUGUUGUUCGAUAGCAGAAACUGAAACUUAUAACAAUUUAGCAUCCUGAAACUUCAUUCUCCAACUUGUAACCAAGCUCAACACGCUUGGUCGUGUAUAUUGAGAAUGUGAUCAGCGAAAUCAGUUGUUAGGCCAUGUGUGAUCAACUGCCCCGAAGCCGAAAACGAGAAAUCUUUACAAUAUCACUUGUUUUACUUAUUGUUCCAAGGAUCCAAAGCUAUGAGGUGGCCACACCCUCAUAAACACUUUCCCUUGAAUAAGACCAUAUGGAACAGGCCCAAAAUGCCUUGAAUCACUGGAAGCAUACAUAUUAUCUCCCUGAAUCCAAACAUGCCCCUUUGGGACCACGAUGAUGUUGCAGCUGUCAUUACUAGAGGGGUCCAGCAAGAAAGUGAUUCUAUCACCCUCCAUUCCCACGAUGCGUUUGGUGACGAUUUUUCUAGGAUCAACAGGGGAUCGAACCAGCACCACAUCACCAGGUCCCAGCUUCCCCAAACGGUGUGAAAUGUGUUCCACCAAUAACACAUCGCCGGAAAUAUUGAGCGUUGGAAGCAUACUAGGGCCGUACACGAGAGUGGAAGAGCAUAGGUAGUUGUUGGUGACGUGAAGCAAGCAAAGGAACUUGGCUACUAUCGAUGUUUGAGUGAAUGCUUGUUUGGCUAUGCUUCGCCAUUGCCAAAUAUACUUCGCCGCUCUCAUCUCUCCCCUUCUCUGUGAAUUUGGCGGAAGUGAAAAUGGCCUGCCCUUUGAGCGAGCUCGCUUUUUUUUUUUUUUUU
RNAcentral lists this unclassified non-coding RNA (830 nucleotides) under Hevea brasiliensis (rubber tree). The record is from RNAcentral. Lineage: Eukaryota; Viridiplantae; Streptophyta; Magnoliopsida; Malpighiales; Euphorbiaceae.